RNAcentral lists this ribosomal RNA (273 nucleotides) under uncultured bacterium. RNAcentral's name for it is "partial 16S ribosomal RNA". It matches the Rfam family "Bacterial small subunit ribosomal RNA", at positions 524 to 796 of the family's 1533-position model. The record is from RNAcentral.
UACAAAUUGUUCAAACGUUAAUCGGAAUUACUGGGCGUAAAGCGCGCGUAGGUGUUUCGUUAAGUUGGAUGUGAAAGCCCCGGGCUCAACCUGGGAACUGCAUCCAAAACUGGCGAGCUAGAGUACGGUAGAGGGUGGUGGAAUUUCCUGUGUAGCGGUGAAAUGCGUAGAUAUAGGAAGGAACACCAGUGGCGAAGGCGACCACCUGGACUGAUACUGACACUGAGGUGCGAAAGCGUGGGGAGCAAACAGGAUUAGAUACCCCCGUAGUCC